CCCCAGCCCAAAUUUCCGUUGUCACGAUCCACAUGUUGCUGUUCCUCAGCAAGCACUUAGCUUCACCCCUUAGACCUGCAAGUCAGAGACUUGAGUUUAAAUUUCCAAUACUAUUUGGCAGUGCUUUUUUAUGGGGGUACGCAUACCCUUAAACGUUUUGUGCAUCUAAAUUUGGCCUCACUGAGGGGCAGUAUUUCAAUAUGAGUAGGAAAAUGACAGUACCCCUAAACAUUUUUUAGGGGGGGAAAAGCACUACUACUUGGACUUCUUAUAUUUCCUUUCUGACUGGGCUACUCAAGCAGUUGCUCUGGCAUUGGAUUCCCUCAUUACUUGUUUUUAUCCUGUAUUUUAUUCUGUGAACUGCCCUGAGAUCUUAUGAUGAAGGCUGGUACAUAAAUCUAAAUAAUAUUAAUAUUAAUAUUAACAACAGCAACAACAACACCACCACCUUCCUGAUUUGCCACUAGGCCCAGUUUUUCACAUAAACUAGCCAUCCUUGCCCAACCCAAAUCCUGAUUAAAAACCUCUAGUAGAUGCGCCUCUCUUAACAAGUUAGUUGGCACUUUCCAUUAAUGAUCUGAACAAUUAAUAUGUUAAAAACCGGUUGGGUUUUUUUGUUUUGUUUUUUUUAACAUGAUAUUUUGGAAAGCCCGUUAUCCACAGUGCUUUGAAUUACUGCGAAAGGGGGAAAGCGACUGCUUAAUUCAGUUGGGGGUGGGGAGGAGGAAUUCUGAGCAUGUAUCCUCUUUCCCCCCCCAACAACAACAAAAAUUCCUUUGAGCUUUUCUUUUUUCUUCUUCUUCUUUUUUAGGUACAAAGGUUGCAGACGCAUGCGCAGCUUCUGGAUUAACGCAACAGACCAUUACAGAUUUAAGAGCCGUUACGGUAUAUCAAGUGAGUAAACAAAAAAAAACUAAGGCAGAUUUAUACAAUGACCACAUUGGCACCCCGGGAGCCGUUACGGUCCAUCAGGUCAAAAAUCCACUUUUUAAAGAGCACCUAAAUAUGUGUGUAACCAAUAGGCCUCAGGUCUCCAGAGUAACAAGCACACAGAUUUUCAAAAACAAGAAUAGAGAGGAGUUAUGGGAUGGUGGCAGUUUGGGGGGAGAAAGUAAGGUAAAUCACCCACAAUUUAAAUGCCUAAACAGUAUGUGUCUGGUUCAAACAGGUUUAAAAUAUGGGUUUUAAAUAAACUUCUGGCUUCCUGUGUACAAUUCUGCAAAUACAUUUCUGCCAUCAAUACAGUGAAAGCAAAGUUGUUUAACUUUGCAACGUAAGUCACAUAUUUAAAUAUAAUGGAGGUCAUACUAAUAAAACUCCAAACUUGAAUACCAGGCUUGGUAGCAACUAAACUCUAUAUUCCACUUCUCCUGCUAUAAGAGAAGUCAGGUCUACAUGGUUAACUUUCCCUCUCGUUGCUUUUGUUGCAAACCAGAGAAUAACACUCCUAUAAACAUCUAACAUAAAAGGCCAAGUGCAAUGUUCCAAGUGAAACCCACCGUGAAUCAUUCUCCUACUUACAGUUUAUUCUUGGCCUUCCCCUUUUUAACGCAGUAUUUGUUCCAACGGAAAACUGAAGAAGAACUUCAUCUCUCCAUAUGACCUGAGAUAACAGUAACGUUGAAAGAAUGGCCUGGCUUGUCAGGGAUAAUCCAAGGGCUGUCCGCAGCUACGCUUUUUUUUAAAAAAGCACACACACAUGAGCCCAAAAGGACUAAUAAAUGCUAACUCUCAGCAUGACACAUCAGGAACUUUAAGCCCCUAACACCGACUAAGAAGAAAGUCUCCCAAAUUUACCAAAAUUAUCUGCAACACAAUGGAGAAGAGAAGGAAUUAAUCAAAGUCUCUCUCUUAAUGCAAUGCUUGAUUGAACUAUCCCAAUCCCUUUUCAAAUGGGAUAACCAAGUGGCAAGUGACCUCGAUGAAACAUCCCAGAGAGGUACACAAGUACCACUUGUUCAAUUUUUUCCCUUUUAUGACCUCAUUAGGAAGGAUUUUGAAGGUUGCUCCUGAAUAUUAGAACAAAGUGUCUCAACACUACCUCUCUAGGAUUCUUACGUCUCUUGUGUAUGUGCUUUGUUUUUGUUUUGUUUUAUUUUCCUCUAGCGGCGGCUUUUUGAAUGGAAUGUUUGGAACACACACACACACACACACACACACACACACACUUCUGGAGAAAUAAUCUACCAUGCAAAAACAAAUCCCUCAAAGUUACAUUUCUUUCCCUAAAUGGAGAGCCUUGGAAAGAGUCUAGGGCUUUUGCCAAAACCAACUCAUGAGUCCAUCUUUCUCUCCAUCUCCCUUCCUGUUAAUAGUCCCCAUUAAUUAGAGCUGGCUGCGGUUUUCACUUCCUUAUCAGGAAUGAUGCAGAGGCUGCCAAAUCAGCUAGUGUGAAAAUAUUCCAUUGCCAGUAAUGUGUUCCACCCCCCCCCCUUUCCCCUCUCCCUAAGUGUUUGUUGAUUCCAUGCUUGGAUUUAAUUUGGAGGAUUGUAUUUUAUAACCAGAAACAAACAAACAGAUUUAUAACCAAAGAUGGAAAGGCAAACAGCAAAAAAAAAAGGGGGGGGGGGGAGAAAAGCCGAGCCAAGCACUGCAACUAAGCCCACCACUUUUAUUGACUUCUUAAAAACCAAAUAACCUGGCAUAUUAGUGUGUGCAUUCUGCAACAGACAUUCAGCUCCAUUGUACUACUUAGAAGGGAAUAAAAGGAAACCCUACUGUUUGAAAUCCAGCGGAACAUCCCCACAACAGAGCACAACUGUUCCCUCAUGCAUGAAUGGGAAGGAGAUGAAAGAAAAGAUGGACUUCUGAGGUGCAGCAAAAAACAAAGACAACAAAAGUGCUGAUCAUGAGGGAAUGACACAACUCAUUGCCGCAAAAAGGAUGAGAGAAAGGAGCUCAAACAAUAGUGUAGACAGCUAAGUGACAUGUAGAAGAAUUGAAAAAUCUACAGAAGUGCCUUUUCUCUCCACACUUGACGAGAAACAAUUAAAUGUUGGUACAUCUGUCAUAAAAAGGAUAAUUGAAACCUGUUACCGUCAUUAUGGACAGCAACUUAACUACCAAAACUGUAACUGUCCAAUUAAAUGUUGCCCCCUCUGUUAUCUACACCACUUGCUAAAAUGAAAAGCUUUGAUUCCUCUGAUAAUUUGCCA
This 3155-nucleotide long non-coding RNA is filed under the name Podarcis lilfordi (Lilford's wall lizard). Lineage: Eukaryota; Metazoa; Chordata; Lepidosauria; Squamata; Lacertidae. The record is from RNAcentral.